UUAAGCGACUAAGCGUACACGGUGGAUGCCCUGGCAGUCAGAGGCGAUGAAGGACGUGCUAAUCUGCGAUAAGCGUCGGUAAGGUGAUAUGAACCGUUAUAACCGGCGAUUUCCGAAUGGGGAAACCCAGUGUGAUUCGUCACACUAUCAUUAACUGAAUCCAUAGGUUAAUGAGGCGAACCGGGGGAACUGAAACAUCUAAGUACCCGAGGAAAAGAAAUCAACCGAGAUUCCCCAGUAGCGGCGAGCGAACGGGGAGCAGCCCAGAGCCUGAAUCAGUGUGUGUGUUAGUGGAAGCGUCUGGAAAGGCGUGCGAUACAGGGUGACAGCCCCGUACACAAAAAUGCACAUAUUGUGAGCUCGAUGAGUAGGGCGGGACACGUGGUAUCCUGUCUGAAUAUGGGGGGACCAUCCUCCAAGGCUAAAUACUCCUGACUGACCGAUAGUGAACCAGUACCGUGAGGGAAAGGCGAAAAGAACCCCGGCGAGGGGAGUGAAAAAGAACCUGAAACCGUGUACGUACAAGCAGUGGGAGCACGCUUAGGCGUGUGACUGCGUACCUUUUGUAUAAUGGGUCAGCGACUUAUAUUCUGUAGCAAGGUUAACCGAAUAGGGGAGCCGAAGGGAAACCGAGUCUUAACUGGGCGUUAAGUUGCAGGGUAUAGACCCGAAACCCGGUGAUCUAGCCAUGGGCAGGUUGAAGGUUGGGUAACACUAACUGGAGGACCGAACCGACUAAUGUUGAAAAAUUAGCGGAUGACUUGUGGCUGGGGGUGAAAGGCCAAUCAAACCGGGAGAUAGCUGGUUCUCCCCGAAAGCUAUUUAGGUAGCGCCUCGUGAAUUCAUCUCCGGGGGUAGAGCACUGUUUCGGCAAGGGGUCAUCCCGACUUACCAACCCGAUGCAAACUGCGAAUACCGGAGAAUGUUAUCACGGGAGACACACGGCGGGUGCUAACGUCCGUCGUGAAGAGGGAAACAACCCAGACCGCCAGCUAAGGUCCCAAAGUCAUGGUUAAGUGGGAAACGAUGUGGGAAGGCCCAGACAGCCAGGAUGUUGGCUUAGAAGCAGCCAUCAUUUAAAGAAAGCGUAAUAGCUCACUGGUCGAGUCGGCCUGCGCGGAAGAUGUAACGGGGCUAAACCAUGCACCGAAGCUGCGGCAGCGACACUAUGUGUUGUUGGGUAGGGGAGCGUUCUGUAAGCCUGUGAAGGUGUACUGUGAGGUAUGCUGGAGGUAUCAGAAGUGCGAAUGCUGACAUAAGUAACGAUAAAGCGGGUGAAAAGCCCGCUCGCCGGAAGACCAAGGGUUCCUGUCCAACGUUAAUCGGGGCAGGGUGAGUCGACUCCUAAGGCGAGGCCGAAAGGCGUAGUCGAUGGGAAACAGGUUAAUAUUCCUGUACUUGGUGUUACUGCGAAGGGGGACGGAGAAGGCUAUGUUGGCCGGGCGACGGUUGUCCCGGUUUAAGCGUGUAGGCUGGUUUUCCAGGCAAAUCCGGAAAACUAAGGCUGAGGCGUGAUGACGAGGCACUACGGUGCUGAAGCAACAAAUGCCCUGCUUCCAGGAAAAGCCUCUAAGCAUCAGGUAACAUCAAAUCGUACCCCAAACCGACACAGGUGGUCAGGUAGAGAAUACCAAGGCGCUUGAGAGAACUCGGGUGAAGGAACUAGGCAAAAUGGUGCCGUAACUUCGGGAGAAGGCACGCUGAUAUGUAGGUGAAGUCCCUCGCGGAUGGAGCUGAAAUCAGUCGAAGAUACCAGCUGGCUGCAACUGUUUAUUAAAAACACAGCACUGUGCAAACACGAAAGUGGACGUAUACGGUGUGACGCCUGCCCGGUGCCGGAAGGUUAAUUGAUGGGGUCAGCGCAAGCGAAGCUCUUGAUCGAAGCCCCGGUAAACGGCGGCCGUAACUAUAACGGUCCUAAGGUAGCGAAAUUCCUUGUCGGGUAAGUUCCGACCUGCACGAAUGGCGUAAUGAUGGCCAGGCUGUCUCCACCCGAGACUCAGUGAAAUUGAACUCGCUGUGAAGAUGCAGUGUACCCGCGGCAAGACGGAAAGACCCCGUGAACCUUUACUAUAGCUUGACACUGAACAUUGAGCCUUGAUGUGUAGGAUAGGUGGGAGGCUUUGAAGUGUGGACGCCAGUCUGCAUGGAGCCGACCUUGAAAUACCACCCUUUAAUGUUUGAUGUUCUAACGUUGACCCGUAAUCCGGGUUGCGGACAGUGUCUGGUGGGUAGUUUGACUGGGGCGGUCUCCUCCUAAAGAGUAACGGAGGAGCACGAAGGUUGGCUAAUCCUGGUCGGACAUCAGGAGGUUAGUGCAAUGGCAUAAGCCAGCUUGACUGCGAGCGUGACGGCGCGAGCAGGUGCGAAAGCAGGUCAUAGUGAUCCGGUGGUUCUGAAUGGAAGGGCCAUCGCUCAACGGAUAAAAGGUACUCCGGGGAUAACAGGCUGAUACCGCCCAAGAGUUCAUAUCGACGGCGGUGUUUGGCACCUCGAUGUCGGCUCAUCACAUCCUGGGGCUGAAGUAGGUCCCAAGGGUAUGGCUGUUCGCCAUUUAAAGUGGUACGCGAGCUGGGUUUAGAACGUCGUGAGACAGUUCGGUCCCUAUCUGCCGUGGGCGCUGGAGAACUGAGGGGGGCUGCUCCUAGUACGAGAGGACCGGAGUGGACGCAUCACUGGUGUUCGGGUUGUCAUGCCAAUGGCACUGCCCGGUAGCUAAAUGCGGAAGAGAUAAGUGCUGAAAGCAUCUAAGCACGAAACUUGCCCCGAGAUGAGUUCUCCCUGACUCCUUGAGAGUCCUGAAGGAACGUUGAAGACGACGACGUUGAUAGGCCGGGUGUGUAAGCGCAGCGAUGCGUUGAGCUAACCGGUACUAAUGAACCGUGAGGCUUAACCUU
This 2897-nucleotide ribosomal RNA is filed under the name Shigella dysenteriae. RNAcentral's name for it is "bacterial LSU rRNA". It matches the Rfam family "Bacterial large subunit ribosomal RNA". Lineage: Bacteria; Pseudomonadati; Pseudomonadota; Gammaproteobacteria; Enterobacterales; Enterobacteriaceae. The record is from RNAcentral.